This 277-nucleotide ribosomal RNA is filed under the name uncultured bacterium. Its description in RNAcentral is "partial 16S ribosomal RNA". It matches the Rfam family "Bacterial small subunit ribosomal RNA", at positions 32 to 319 of the family's 1533-position model. The record is from RNAcentral.
AAUCAACGCUGGCGGCGUGCCUAACACAUGCAAGUCGAACGAGAAAGUGGAGCAAUCCAUGAGUAAAGUGGCGCACGGGUGAGUAACACGUGACUAACCUACCCCGAAGCGGGGGAUAACCUAGGGAAACCUGGGCUAAUACCGCAUAACACCUACGGGUCAAAGCAGCAAUGCACUUCGGGAGGGGGUCGCGGCAGAUUAGCUAGUUGGUGAGGUAAUGGCUCACCAAGGCGAUGAUCUGUAUCCGGCCUGAGAGGGCGCACGGACACACUGGAAC